UAGGGAAUCUUCGGCAAUGGACGGAAGUCUGACCGAGCAACGCCGCGUGAGUGAAGAAGGUUUUCGGAUCGUAAAGCUCUGUUGUAAGAGAAGAACGAGUGUGAGAGUGGAAAGUUCACACUGUGACGGUAUCUUACCAGAAAGGGACGGCUAACUACGUGCCAGCAGCCGCGGUAAUACGUAGGUCCCGAGCGUUGUCCGGAUUUAUUGGGCGUAAAGCGAGCGCAGGCGGUUAGAUAAGUCUGAAGUUAAAGGCUGUGGCUUAACCAUAGUACGCUUUGGAAACUGUUUAACUUGAGUGCAGAAGGGGAGAGUGGAAUUCCAUGUGUAGCGGUGAAAUGCGUAGAUAUAUGGAGGAACACCGGUGGCGAAAGCGGCUCUCUGGUCUGUAACUGACGCUGAGGCUCGAAAGCGUGGGGAGCGAACAGGAUUAGAUACCCUGGUAGUCCACGCCGUANCGAUGAGUGCUAGGUGUUAGGUCCUUUCCGGGACUUAGUGCCGCAGCUAACGCAUUAAGCACUCCGCCUGGNGAGUACGACCGCAAGGNU
RNAcentral lists this ribosomal RNA (548 nucleotides) under uncultured bacterium. RNAcentral's name for it is "bacterial SSU rRNA". It matches the Rfam family "Bacterial small subunit ribosomal RNA", at positions 355 to 895 of the family's 1533-position model. The record is from RNAcentral.